Molecule: ribosomal RNA, 253 nt
Filed under: uncultured bacterium
Lineage: Bacteria
Description: partial 16S ribosomal RNA
Rfam family: Bacterial small subunit ribosomal RNA
Source: RNAcentral
UACGGAGGGGGCGAGCGUUAUUCGGAAUCAUUGGGCGUAAAGGGCGCGUAGGCGGCUUUGUAAGUCUUGGGUGAAAGCCCUCGGCUCAACCGAGGAAUUGCCUUGGAUACUGCGAAGCUCGAGGCUGGAAGAGGACAGUGGAGUUCCCGGUGUAGCGGUGAAAUGCGUAGAUAUCGGGAGGAACACCGGUGGCGAAGGCGGCAUCCUGGACCGGCAUUGACGCUGAGGCGCGAAAGCCAGGGGAGCAAACGGG